RNAcentral lists this ribosomal RNA (292 nucleotides) under uncultured bacterium. RNAcentral describes it as "partial 16S ribosomal RNA". It matches the Rfam family "Bacterial small subunit ribosomal RNA", at positions 505 to 796 of the family's 1533-position model. The record is from RNAcentral.
GUGUCAGCAGCCGCGGUAAUACGUAGGGGGCAAGCGUUGUCCGGAAUUAUUGGGCGUAAAGAGCGCGUAGGCGGUCCGAUAAGUCGGCUGUGAAAGUCAGGGGCUCAACCCUUGAAAGCCGGCCGAUACUGUCGGACUAGAGUCCGGAAGAGGCAAGUGGAAUUCCCGGUGUAGCGGUGAAAUGCGCAGAUAUCGGGAGGAACACCAAUGGCGAAGGCAGCUUGCUGGGACGGUACUGACGCUGAGGCGCGAAAGCGUGGGGAGCAAACAGGAUUAGAAACCCUCGUAGUCC